This 381-nucleotide ribosomal RNA is filed under the name uncultured eukaryote. Its description in RNAcentral is "SSU rRNA". It matches the Rfam family "Eukaryotic small subunit ribosomal RNA", at positions 587 to 972 of the family's 1831-position model. The record is from RNAcentral.
AGCUCCAAUAGCGUAUAUUAAAGUUGUUGCGGUUAAAAAGCUCGUAGUUGGAUUUCUGUUGGAGACGCUCGGUCCGCUCUAUGAGCGUGUAUCUGGGUCGACUCCGGCAUCCUUGUGAGGAACACGACUGUGCUUGAGUGCAUGGAGUGGAAUUCACGACUUUUACUUUGAGGAAAUUAGAGUGUUCACGGCAGGCAAGUGCCUUGAAUAUAUUAGCAUGGAAUAAUAAUAUAGGACUUUGGUUCUAUUUUGUUGGUUUCUAGAACUAAAGUAAUGAUUAAUAGGGAUAAUUGGGGGCAUUUGUACUAUCGAGUCAGAGGUGGAAUUCUUGGAUUUCGAUAUGACAAACUACUGCGAAAGCAUUUGCCAAGGAUGUUUUCA